UGGGCCAUCGCCAAGCGGUAAGGCACAAGACUUUGACUCUUGCAGACGCCGGUUCGAAUCCGGCUGGCCCAG
Molecule: transfer RNA, 72 nt
Filed under: Candidatus Copromonas avistercoris (nom. illeg.)
Lineage: Bacteria; Bacillati; Bacillota; Clostridia; Lachnospirales; Lachnospiraceae
Also listed under: 1 other name
Description: tRNA-Gln
Rfam family: tRNA
About the family: Transfer RNA (tRNA) molecules are approximately 80 nucleotides in length. Their secondary structure includes four short double-helical elements and three loops (D, anti-codon, and T loops).
Source: RNAcentral